RNAcentral lists this ribosomal RNA (276 nucleotides) under uncultured bacterium. RNAcentral's name for it is "partial 16S ribosomal RNA". It matches the Rfam family "Bacterial small subunit ribosomal RNA", at positions 79 to 354 of the family's 1533-position model. The record is from RNAcentral.
AAAGCGGGAGUGACUUAGCGGCGGACGGGUGAGUAACGCGUGGGUAACCUGCCCCAUACCGGGGGAUAACGGUUAGAAAUGACCGCUAAUACCGCUUAAGCGCGCGAGGCCGCAUGGCCGUGCGCGAAAAACUCCGGUGGUAUGGGAUGGGCCCGCGUCUGAUUAGGUAGUUGGCGGGGUAAGGGCCCACCAAGCCGACGAUCAGUAGCCGACCUGAGAGGGUGGCCGGCCACAUUGGGACUGAGACACGGCCCAAACUCCUACGGAAGGCAGCAG